CUACGUGCCAGCAGCCGCGGUAAUACGUAUGUCGCAAGCGUUAUCCGGAAUUAUUGGGCAUAAAGGGCAUCUAGGCGGCCAAACAAGUCUGGGGUGAAAACUUGCGGCUCAACCACAAGCCUGCCCUGGAAACUGUUUGGCUAGAGUGCUGGAGAGGUGGACGGAACUGCACGAGUAGAGGUGAAAUUCGUAGAUAUGUGCAGGAAUGCCGAUGAUGAAGAUAGUUCACUGGACGGCAACUGACGCUGAAGUGCGAAAGCUAGGGGAGCGAACAGGAUUAGAUACCCUGGUAGUCCUAGCUGUAAACGAUGAUUACUGGGUGUGGGCAUGAAGAGUGUCUGUGCCGAAGCAAAUGCGAUAAGUAAUCCGCCUGGGGAGUACGGCCGCAAGGCUGAAACUCAAAGGAAUUGACGGGGACCCGCACAAGCGGUGGAGCAUGUGGUUUAAUUCGACGCAACGCGAGGAACCUUACCAGAUCUUGACAUCC
This 487-nucleotide ribosomal RNA is filed under the name uncultured bacterium. RNAcentral's name for it is "bacterial SSU rRNA". It matches the Rfam family "Bacterial small subunit ribosomal RNA", at positions 501 to 989 of the family's 1533-position model. The record is from RNAcentral.